UCGAACGGGAUCCCUGGCAGCUUGCUGUCGGGGUGAGAGUGGCGAACGGGUGAGUAAUGCGUGACCAACCUGCCCUGUGCACCGGAAUAGCUCCUGGAAACGGGUGGUAAUACCGGAUGCUCCGCUCCAUCGCAUGGUGGGGUGGGAAAUGCUUUUGCGGCAUGGGAUGGGGUCGCGUCCUAUCAGGUAGUCGGCGGGGUAACGGCCCACCGAGCCUACGACGGGUAGCCGGCCUGAGAGGGCGACCGGCCACAUUGGGACUGAGAUACGGCCCAAACUCC
This 281-nucleotide ribosomal RNA is filed under the name uncultured Bifidobacterium sp. RNAcentral describes it as "partial 16S ribosomal RNA". It matches the Rfam family "Bacterial small subunit ribosomal RNA", at positions 62 to 339 of the family's 1533-position model. The record is from RNAcentral. Lineage: Bacteria; Bacillati; Actinomycetota; Actinomycetes; Bifidobacteriales; Bifidobacteriaceae.